GCUGGGCAUGGUGGCGUAUGCUUGUAAUCCCAGCAGCCCUGGAGGCUGAGACAGGAGGAUUGCGAGUUCAAAGCCAGCCUCAGCAAUGGCAAAGCGCUAAGCAACUCAGUGAGAUCCUGUCUCUA
Molecule: small RNA, 125 nt
Filed under: Marmota monax (woodchuck)
Lineage: Eukaryota; Metazoa; Chordata; Mammalia; Rodentia; Sciuridae
Source: RNAcentral